This 483-nucleotide ribosomal RNA is filed under the name uncultured bacterium. RNAcentral's name for it is "partial 16S ribosomal RNA". It matches the Rfam family "Bacterial small subunit ribosomal RNA", at positions 28 to 507 of the family's 1533-position model. The record is from RNAcentral.
GACGAACGCUGGCGGCGUGCUUAACACAUGCAAGUCGAACGCUGAAGCUCAGCUUUUGUUGGGUGGAUGAGUGGCGAACGGGUGAGUAACACGUGAGUAACCUGCCUCCUUCUUUGGGAUAACGCCCGGAAACGGGUGCUAAUACUGGAUAUUCACUGGUCUUCGCAUGGGGGUUGGUGGAAAGGGUUUUUCUGGUGGGGGAUGGGCUCGCGGCCUAUCAGCUUGUUGGUGGGGUGAUGGCCUACCAAGGCUUUGACGGGUAGCCGGCCUGAGAGGGUGACCGGUCACGUUGGGACUGAGAUUCGGCCCAGACUCCUGCGGGAGGCAGCAGUGGGGAAUAUUGCACGAUGGGCGCAAGCCUGAUGCAGCGACGCCGCGUGAGGGAUGGAGGCCUUCGGGUUGUGAACCUCUUUCGCUCAUGGUCAAGCCGCAACAAUGGUUGUGGUGAGGGUAGUGGGUAAAGAAGCGCCGGCUAACUACGUG